This 509-nucleotide ribosomal RNA is filed under the name uncultured Glomus. Its description in RNAcentral is "SSU rRNA". It matches the Rfam family "Eukaryotic small subunit ribosomal RNA", at positions 569 to 1081 of the family's 1831-position model. Lineage: Eukaryota; Fungi; Glomeromycota; Glomeromycetes; Glomerales; Glomeraceae. The record is from RNAcentral.
AGCAGCCGCGGUAAUUCCAGCUCCAAUAGCGUAUAUUAAAGUUGUUGCAGUUAAAAAGCUCGUAGUUGAAUUUCGGGAUUAGUAGGUUGGUCGUGCCUCUGGUAUGUACUCGCCUUACUGGUUCCUCCUUCUUGAAGAACUGUAAUGCCAUUAAUUUGGUGUUGCAGGGAAACAGGACUGUUACUUUGAAAAAAUUAGAGUGUUUAAAGCAGGCCAAUGCCUGAAUACAUUAGCAUGGAAUAAUGAAAUAGGACGUUGAUCCUAUUUUGUUGGUUUCUAGGAUUGACGUAAUGAUUAAUAGGGAUAGUUGGGGGCAUUAGUAUUCAAUUGUCAGAGGUGAAAUUCUUGGAUUUAUUGAAGACUAACUACUGCGAAAGCAUUUGCCAAGGAUGUUUUCAUUAAUCAAGAACGAAAGUUAGGGGAUCGAAGACGAUCAGAUACCGUCGUAGUCUUAACCAUAAACUAUGCCGACUAGGGAUCGGAUGAUGUUAAUUUUUAAUGACUCAUUC